ACGAGCAAAGUCGCAUGCCCUCGAGCGAGAACGACUCGCACGCUAGACUCCCUGCCCUCGUUCGUCGCCGCCUUCAUCCCUUCGCCUCCGCCGCCCUUCAUCCCUUCGCCGCUGCACUCGGUCUCACAUCAAAGGCGCCCCACUCGCGGGAGAGGAUGAGCUGAUCUCCAUGGCCAGAUGAGGGAGGAAUACGGGUGACGGGAUGGAUUUGGAUCUCAAGGCGGGGAGGCCAACGUAGCCGCCCCUAGCGCGUCGAGCGAAAGCGAAGGAUUUGGAUCUCAUGGAUUUGGCUGCGUCGACCAGCAGAGGACCGCCGCCGGCUCGGCUCCUCCACCACAAAGCAACCUCCUUCCACCCCGUAGCCGCCGCCCAAAACCCUAGCAAUCGAGCCCCACCCAUGGCGCCCUAGGUGGUACAGCGGCCAGAGGAGAGGAGAGGAGAGGAGGUGGAGCAGCCAUCGCCUAGACGUGAGCAGCAUCUUGUGCAUGCAUCCAUUGAGGACGUGAGCGAUGGCAGCGGUGAAUGGGCAGCGCGGGCGUCGAGCAGGAUCAUGGGGGAGCAGGGGAGGCCAGAGGCUGCUCACCAUAUACAUCGCCAUCCAUAGCCUCCCUCGUCCGCCAAGAAGCUGAGGAGGGAGGCUGACCUCCAGUGACCACUCUGCACCGCUCUGGACGACACCCUCCCCCACCAGAGAGAAAGUGCAAAAGCUAUGGGCAAUCCUAUAUGACUGGCGCCAUCAGUAAGGAUUUAUUUAAAGCUAGCUUACUUUUGGGUCUAAGCCAAGUUUAUUUCUUUCGCAGAUUUAUUCACCUUAUUGGGACGGUGGGGUUAAUAUAUAUACAUCAACUUUGAGCAUCAGCAACGCAUGAAGCUUGCUUCUGAGGCUGCAACAUACUUUGCAAUCCCCCUGUGAAACAUACUUUUGUCACUAUGCACAUAUGGUUAUUCGAACGAAUUGAUUUCGAUUAGACUAUCUUUUUCCUAAUUACUUGUUAUAUGAUGUUCUUUACUAUUCAGAGGUUGUUGAAGGGAGAUGGGGCUCUUCUGGCCCCUUUGGUGCAAAAGCACAAGCAACAGCAUCUACAGCUGACCACUCAUAGCCUAGGAUGUCCUGCAGAUUUGAUCUAUUUUGGAUAGAGACAUGGAAUCAAACCACAGGAUACCCAAGCAGUGCGUACAAAUUGUAGUGGUGCUUGUAGCUUAUCAUCAAUCUGCCAUUAUUAUUUGUAUGUUGAAUGGGCGCUUUAUAUUUUAGGGCGGAAGACUGAAGCAAAGAAAACUGCGGCUCUUUAGUAUAUCUUCAGAUUUGCGGCUCUUUGAGCUGUGGUACAUUUGAUUCGAGACCCGGAUGAGGUUGGUUUUACGUUUCUUAUUGGAAGAGUGAGAUGCCCAGGACAGAAUCCAGUUUGUAUCAACGCCUCAUUGAAUAGAAUCAUGUAGAUUCUGCUUCAUACAAGCUUCAUAAAGAAAUAGUUUUAACGGAGGACUUCAAAGAGUAUUUUGCCAAAUUUGGUAAAGUGCGGGGAUGGAGGGCAGUCAGCAUCCACCUCGAGGCAGAGGGGUGGGCAGAAGGACGGUCGGUGUUCAACUCUCUACGGUUCAAAACCAAGUCCAUCCAAGCCUCAAAGUAUAAAGAAGGCGCCUAGACACUCGAUGGGUGGUGUAAACCGUAGGGUGUCCAUUGGUGGAGCCAUGAUGCAAGCAUCCAAAACAGACAUAUUGUAUACGAAGAAUGUUCAUGCUGCCAAGAGAAGUGAAGACAUUGCCCAUUUGUCCCCUGGAUGGGCGUGUAACUAGAGAACAAAACACUAUGGCGGCAAAUGAGACUAUCGAACCGAACUGAUUGUACUGAAAACUAGGACCUAAACUUGUGCUGCUGGCCAACCUUUUCUUCAGGGAAUGCCAAGAUAUUCGCCAAACAAAGCCAUAGGAUGGUGCUAUACACAGAGGACAACCUAUCAGGGAGUCCACUAAUGACCAGAUGGGUAUCUUGUCGCUCAUCUACAGCAAGUCGGGCUCCAGUGUGUUUGGGUCAGCGUCCACGGAGGAGCAGAUAACUGACGACAUUUACGCUGCCGGGCUCACUAUCCUCAUCACACAUGACCACAACCCACCCAACCGACUGUUACAAUGGUCGUGGAGCUUCUUGGAUUAAAAUUGCAAAGAGUAGUACUGGAAAGCUUCAUUUUCGUAAGAUGCUCUGGUAUUUCCGAGUAGAAGAAAGCAAAGCCAACAAGGGUCGUUAGAAAUUAUUAGUACUCUACAAAAUUUGUAACACAUCAUAUUAAUUGGGAACUCAAAUCUUGGUUGCAAAAAUUAGAUCUGUGCUAUAAAUGCAGGCAAUACAAAAGGUAGGAAGACCAUACGAAGACCAAUACAAAAAGGAGGAUGCAUGAGCUUCAGAUCUGAUUGAAUUUAGUCAGAAGAUGGAGACUUGAAGGAGGAAUUAGUGGAGAAUGGGAAGGUGGAUAGAACAUGGGAACAAAUCAAAUACGUGUAGUAUUCCUAUGAGGGGAGUGAGUGGAGACAGAAAUGAGUGCACGUGGAGCAGCUGCUGCCUAUGAGGCGAGUGAGUGGAGACGGCCAGAUCUAUGCGGCGGAGGGGCUAUAGAAGCUUGAACGAAAGAUUCGUCGCCAGCAUCGGAGCAAUUUAUUGGGCAGAUCGACACUAAAUCUCCUGCAUGGACGUGAAGGCAUGCCUUUAUUAAGUUCAAUCUUUGAAAACUUGGCAUGUGACGCUGUGUAAAAAUAGAAGAUGCUAGAAAAUUGUCUCUGGCCAAUUUCGUAUGUAGCCGUGAGCAUUGCUAAUUUCUGUCAACAUGAACGAUAUUUGGUCUGUUUAUAUAGCUACCAUGUGCUGAACAAAUUGUCUGAUUAAUGUAAUACUCCUGAAUAGAUUGGUGUGCGUGCCAUGUCAUUUGGUCUGCGUUACACUAACAGAAUCAUUUUGUCAAUGGCUGGUCCAUUAAUACUCUUUCAAAAUUU
Long non-coding RNA from Triticum aestivum (bread wheat), 2985 nucleotides. RefSeq lists it as uncharacterized. Lineage: Eukaryota; Viridiplantae; Streptophyta; Magnoliopsida; Poales; Poaceae. The transcript is spliced from 15 exons. The record is from RefSeq and is a predicted model, not a curated record.